GUCAAAGCAUUGCAACUUUUCAAAUGUGGGAAAGUGCAAAUCUCUUCUUUCUUUUUCAAUAACAGCUAGAUGCUGGAAUUGGAUUCAAACCCUGAGGUUCUUGCUGAAAUUUUACUAUUUUAGACAUUGUGAACCCCAGAUUUUUACUCUAGAAUUCUAUGAUAUAUGGAUUUAAGGAUACUUCUCUAAAGAAUUAUGAUUUUGAUAUAACGUUUACCAUACCUUUAGAUGUGUAUCAAGACUUUGUAGCCAUGUUGAAUCUUUGGCUUCCAUCUAGUGAGAUGAGAUAUUAAGAGCCUGUUUGGCAUUGUUAUUGGAACUGUUGUUGAGAAAAUCAUUUUUUUAAA
Molecule: unclassified non-coding RNA, 347 nt
Filed under: Hevea brasiliensis (rubber tree)
Lineage: Eukaryota; Viridiplantae; Streptophyta; Magnoliopsida; Malpighiales; Euphorbiaceae
Source: RNAcentral